This 200-nucleotide ribosomal RNA is filed under the name uncultured bacterium. Its description in RNAcentral is "partial 16S ribosomal RNA". It matches the Rfam family "Bacterial small subunit ribosomal RNA", at positions 328 to 540 of the family's 1533-position model. The record is from RNAcentral.
ACGCUCGACACCUACGGGUGGCAGCAGUGGGGAAUAUUGCACAAUGGGGGAAACCCUGAUGCAGCGACGCCGCGUGGAGGAAGAAGGUCUUCGGAUUGUAAACUCCUGUUGUUGGGGAAAAAGAGGAUGGUACCCAACAAGGAAGUGACGGCUAACUACGCGCCAGCAGCCGCGGUAAUCUGAGGCGGGCUGGCGAAGGC